AGAGUUUGAUCAUAGCUCAGGAUGAACGCUAGCUACAGGCUUAACACAUGCAAGUCGAGGGGAAACGACAUCGAAAGCUUGCUUUUGAUGGGCGUCGACCGGCGUACGGGUGAGUAACGCGUAUCCAACCUGCCCACCACUUGGGGAUAACCUUGCGAAAGUAAGACUAAUACCCAAUGAUAUCUCUAGAAGACAUCUGAAAGAGAUUAAAGAUUUANCGGUGAUGGAUGGGGAUGCGUCUGAUUAGCUUGUUGGCGGGGUAACGGCCCACCAAGGCAACGAUCAGUAGGGGUUCUGAGAGGAAGGUCCCCCACAUUGGAGCUGAGACACGGUCCAAACUCCUACGGGAGGCAGCA
This 356-nucleotide ribosomal RNA is filed under the name uncultured bacterium. Its description in RNAcentral is "bacterial SSU rRNA". It matches the Rfam family "Bacterial small subunit ribosomal RNA", at positions 8 to 353 of the family's 1533-position model. The record is from RNAcentral.